RNAcentral lists this transfer RNA (45 nucleotides) under Artocarpus teysmannii. RNAcentral's name for it is "partial tRNA-His". The record is from RNAcentral. Lineage: Eukaryota; Viridiplantae; Streptophyta; Magnoliopsida; Rosales; Moraceae.
GGGGAUGUGCCCAAGGGGAUCAGGGGGGGGGUUUGGGAACCCCCC